UCGAGAAUCUUCCGCAAUGGGCGAAAGUCUGACGGAGCGACGCCGCGUGGUGGAUGAAGUCCCUCGGGACGUAAACACCUUUUAUGGAGGAGAAAGUUUAUUGAUGUUACUCCAUGAAUAAGGGGCUCCCAACUCUGUGCCAGCAGGAGCGGUAAUACAGAGGCCCCAAGCAUUAUCCGGAUUUACUGGGCGUAAAGGGUGCGUAGGCGGUCAUAUUAGUCGGGUGUUAAAUCCUGGGGCUCAACCCCAGAAUCGCAUUCGAAACGGUAUGACUAGAAGAAGUCAGAGGCAAGCAGAACUCACGGUGUAGGGGUGAAAUCCGUUGAUAUCGUGGGGAAUACCAAAUGCGAAGGCAGCUUGCUGGGACUCUCUUGACGCUGAGGCACGAAAGCGUGGGUAG
Molecule: ribosomal RNA, 400 nt
Filed under: uncultured bacterium
Lineage: Bacteria
Description: bacterial SSU rRNA
Rfam family: Bacterial small subunit ribosomal RNA
Source: RNAcentral